ACAAUGGGUUAAAUUAAUGGCCCCCUAGCACCGCGAGAUGUUAGUGAAAACUCAUCAAAUUGCUGGAACUCCCUAAAGCCUUUAUACCAAAGCGAAAUUAGAAAUGAUAAGCGCGCCAGGUGCGAGAGCAGAAAAAAGUUAAAGGAUUGAUUGGAAGCCGCAAGGGAUCUAAUCUUUACAAUGGGUAAUCAGCAGCCAAGCUCCGCAUAAAAGGAGAAGGUUCAACGAACAGAGGGUGAGUAUCUUUUAUUCGUUUAAGAUAAAAGAUAAUGGUAUGUUCUAGCCCCUACUGAAAGGAUGGG
Planktothrix serta PCC 8927 is the source of this 302-nucleotide non-coding RNA. The record is from Rfam. NCBI's taxonomy places the organism in Bacteria, Bacillati, Cyanobacteriota, Cyanophyceae, Oscillatoriales, Microcoleaceae.